This 468-nucleotide ribosomal RNA is filed under the name uncultured bacterium. RNAcentral describes it as "partial 16S ribosomal RNA". It matches the Rfam family "Bacterial small subunit ribosomal RNA", at positions 28 to 507 of the family's 1533-position model. The record is from RNAcentral.
GACGAACGCUGGCGGCGUGCUUAACACAUGCAAGUCGAACGGAAAGGCCCUGCUUUUGUGGGGUGCUCGAGUGGCGAACGGGUGAGUAACACGUUAGUAACCUGCCCUUGACUUUGGGAUAACUUCAGGAAACUGGGGCUAAUACCGGAUAGGACCUCCUGCUGCAUGGUGGGGGUUGGAAAGUUUCGGCGGUUGGGGAUGUGCUCGCGGCUUAUCAGCUUGUUUGUGGGGUAGUGGAUUACCAAGGCUUUGACGGGUAGCCGGCCUGAGAGGGUGACCGGCAACAUGGGGAAUGAGAUACGGCCCAGAGUCCUACGGGAGGCAGCAGUGGGGGAUAGUGCACAAUGGGCGGAAGUCUGAUGCAGCAACGCCGCGUGCGGGAUGAUGGCCUUCGGGUUGUAGAGAGCUUUCGCCUGUGACGAAGAGUGAGUGACGGUAAUGGGUAAAGAAGCACCGGCUAACUACGUG